GCCCUGGUGACUGGGGCGCUCUUGUCCCACUGCUUAGUGUCGGGGUGUCGCCUGGGCAGACCUGGCACAGACUCUCCAGGGAAGAGCUUGGCACUGUCCCCCUGUGUGAUGCCCUGAGGGCACCCUCCUCAUAGAGCUUCCUGGCAACAGGCAGGGAGGAAGGGCCCCUGUGUCCCUCAGGGUGUCCCUGCGGGCCCUGGACUCCUCGGCUGGCCCCUGGGGCGGGUACACCAGUGCCACCUGCUGCCCUGGUGCCUGGGCUCACCUGGCUGCAAGUCUCCUUUACAUCGCAGCAUAGGUGGAGACGCUGUCCUGCUCUCUUUGCCGGGGAUGGCUGCGAUGUCCCCCUGCAUUUCUUCCUGUUGACUUAGGUCAGUGUCUACUCUGUGCCGUGGUCAGCUCUGCUCUUGUGUCACAGAAGGAAGCCAUGCUGCUGAAGUGGGCCACACCCCAAGGAGCCACGUGUGAGACCCUCCGUGGGGGUGUCCCACCCGUCUGUCCCAGAGUGGGGAUGCUGGAUGCUGUCCCUCCAGAUAGCCUCCAAGACACAGCAACUGGGGACCGCCAAACACUGUUUCUAUCCAUAAAGAUAAAAUUUGCGGGGGGAGCCUGGAGUUGACUCCAAUGGUGGAAAAGUCACAUAACUCUUAGAAGUAGAGACAACAACCUGCUCCCACUCAAAUGGGCUACAGCAAGCGCUCUGUCCCUUCUGGUGCAAGCCCUGGAGAGCUGUCCUGUGGGGAAACUGAGGCCUGGAGCCCUGACGGCGACUGCCCAGAUCCACAGCAAGGUUCGGCACGGGCUGGCCGGGUGGACACGGAUCUCAACCCCAGGCCUGGCGCCCACUGUUCCUCCUAGCUGGAAACCUCCAGCUCCGGAGCUCGUGGGGUUCCACCGGGAUGCCCACUUAACCCUGGGGUGUCGGCGGAGCAGGGUGCAUGUGAGUACCCCAGGGUCCCUGUGCUUGGUCUCUCCAGACUCAGCAGGGAGCACGGCUUACGCCGGAACGUGUAGAGGCGCUGAGACUCCAAGCAGGGGCUGCCCAGCGUGAGGUGCUCUGCUUGGAGGGGCCGCUCGUUGCCCCCGGGUUUGCUCUAUCACAGAGUGGGAGCAGCGCCCUGCUGGCCUCAGGGGACGAGGUCUCCUCCUCCGCUAUGCUGGAUCACCUGUCCCUGUGUCUGGUGACCUCAGGGCCGACACAACCUUCUGCAGCCUGCGUCUACUCAGGGCCCUGCCGGGCGCUGCCAUCCUGGGGCAGAACGGAAACCGCUGUGCCACCCGACAAGUGCCAGCUUGUCUUGCGGAGUCGGGCUCUGCCCUGAAUGCGUCCUUUGUUCCGGAAACCACAUUCCCUCCCUUUUACCUCUUUCUGCGUGUCCCACGUGGAGAGGGCUCCCCGCGGCUGCCCUGGGAAUCUGGAGUCAAACGCUGCGCUGGCCCAGGUGAAGCCACAGAGCCCUGAGGCCUGCGGGGUGCCGUCUGCCCCUCCUCUCGUUCCCCCUCCCUGACUGCCCAGGGCCGGGGCAGGCCCAGGCCACUGCCCCUGCUCUCCGGGUUUGUCCUUACCUUCCCCAUUGUCUGUUCAUAAAGUGUCUGAACAUCGAAUAUUGCAAACAGAAGUGGAAAAACAGAAGCAGGGUCACCCAAGCGGGCACUGCCAGUGUAGACACGGCACUCAGGUGCUGCCGCCGGGCCCUCUCAGGGCUGGUGGGGGUUGGUGGCACUGGACCACAGCCCAGCCCAGACUCCACUUUGUAAGUUGUGCUCUCUAAAUAUCCUCAGCUACUCAGUCAGCCGGACAGCCUCUCCCCUUUACCACCCACUGAAAAGGCCUGGUAACCUGGAAGGGACGCUGCAGGCACCCCAGCAUUUUGCCCCAGCACUCCACACCUCUCCUAAAAUAAAGACAGUUUCCUUCCA
Long non-coding RNA from Chinchilla lanigera (long-tailed chinchilla), 1920 nucleotides. The record is from Ensembl. NCBI's taxonomy places the organism in Eukaryota, Metazoa, Chordata, Mammalia, Rodentia, Chinchillidae.